RNAcentral lists this ribosomal RNA (453 nucleotides) under uncultured bacterium. RNAcentral's name for it is "bacterial SSU rRNA". It matches the Rfam family "Bacterial small subunit ribosomal RNA", at positions 340 to 786 of the family's 1533-position model. The record is from RNAcentral.
UACGGAAGGCAGCAGUGGGGAAUAUUGCACAAUGGGCGCAAGCCUGAUGCAGCCAUGCCGCGUGUAUGAAGAAGGCCUUCGGGUUGUAAAGUACUUUCAGUCGUGAGGAAGGUGUUAAGGUUAAUAACCUUAGCAAUUGACGCUAGCGACAGAAGAAGCACCGGCUAACUCCGUGCCAGCAGCCGCGGUAAUACGGAGGGUGCGAGCGUUAAUCGGAAUUACUGGGCGUAAAGGGCACGCAGGCGGUUAAUUAAGUUGGAUGUGAAAUCCCCGGGCUUAACCUGGGAAUGGCAUUCAAGACUGGUUAGCUAGAGUCUUGUAGAGGGGGUAGAAUUCCAUGUGUAGCGGUGAAAUGCGUAGAGAUGUGGAGGAAUACCGGUGGCGAAGGCGGCCCCUGGGACAAAGACUGACGCUCAUGUGCGAAAGCGUGGGGAGCAAACAGGAUUAGAUACC